Molecule: ribosomal RNA, 2689 nt
Filed under: Salmonella enterica subsp. enterica serovar Enteritidis
Lineage: Bacteria; Pseudomonadati; Pseudomonadota; Gammaproteobacteria; Enterobacterales; Enterobacteriaceae
Description: partial 23S ribosomal RNA
Rfam family: Bacterial large subunit ribosomal RNA
Source: RNAcentral
AAUCCAUAGGUUAAUGAGGCGAACCGGGGGAACUGAAACAUCUAAGUACCCCGAGGAAAAGAAAUCAACCGAGAUUCCCCCAGUAGCGGCGAGCGAACGGGGAGGAGCCCAGAGCCUGAAUCAGCAUGUGUGUUAGUGGAAGCGUCUGGAAAGGCGCGCGAUACAGGGUGACAGCCCCGUACACAAAAGCGCAUGUGCUGUGAGCUCGAUGAGUAGGGCGGGACACGUGGUAUCCUGUCUGAAUAUGGGGGGACCAUCCUCCAAGGCUAAAUACUCCUGACUGACCGAUAGUGAACCAGUACCGUGAGGGAAAGGCGAAAAGAACCCCGGCGAGGGGAGUGAAAAAGAACCUGAAACCGUGUACGUACAAGCAGUGGGAGCACCCUUUGGGUGUGACUGCGUACCUUUUGUAUAAUGGGUCAGCGACUUAUAUUCUGUAGCAAGGUUAACCGAAUAGGGGAGCCGGAGGGAAACCGAGUCUUAACCGGGCGUUAAGUUGCAGGGUAUAGACCCGAAACCCGGUGAUCUAGCCAUGGGCAGGUUGAAGGUUGGGUAACACUAACUGGAGGACCGAACCGACUAAUGUUGAAAAAUUAGCGGAUGACCUGUGGCUGGGGGUGAAAGGCCAAUCAAACCGGGAGAUAGCUGGUUCUCCCCGAAAGCUAUUUAGGUAGCGCCUCGUGAAUUCAUCUCCGGGGGUAGAGCACUGUUUCGGCUAGGGGGCCAUCCCGGCUUACCAACCCGAUGCAAACUGCGAAUACCGGAGAAUGUUAUCACGGGAGACACACGGCGGGUGCUAACGUCCGUCGUGAAGAGGGAAACAACCCAGACCGCCAGCUAAGGUCCCAAAGUCAUGGUUAAGUGGGAAACGAUGUGGGAAGGCCCAGACAGCCAGGAUGUUGGCUUAGAAGCAGCCAUCAUUUAAAGAAAGCGUAAUAGCUCACUGGUCGAGUCGGCCUGCGCGGAAGAUGUAACGGGGCUAAACCAUGCACCGAAGCUGCGGCAGCGACACUGUGUGUUGUUGGGUAGGGGAGCGUUCUGUAAGCCUGCGAAGGUGGCCUGUGAGGGUUGCUGGAGGUAUCAGAAGUGCGAAUGCUGACAUAAGUAACGAUAAAGCGGGUGAAAAGCCCGCUCGCCGGAAGACCAAGGGUUCCUGUCCAACGUUAAUCGGGGCAGGGUGAGUCGACCCCUAAGGCGAGGCCGAAAGGCGUAGUCGAUGGGAAACGGGUUAAUAUUCCCGUACUUGGUGUUACUGCGAAGGGGGGACGGAGAAGGCUAUGUUGGCCGGGCGACGGUUGUCCCGGUUUAAGCGUGUAGGUGUGUGUUCCAGGUAAAUCCGGUUCACUUUAACACUGAGGCGUGACGACGAGGCACUACGGUGCUGAAGCAACAAAUGCCCUGCUUCCAGGAAAAGCCUCUAAGCAUCAGGUAACAUCAAAUCGUACCCCAAACCGACACAGGUGGUCAGGUAGAGAAUACCAAGGCGCUUGAGAGAACUCGGGUGAAGGAACUAGGCAAAAUGGUGCCGUAACUUCGGGAGAAGGCACGCUGACACGUAGGUGAAGUGAUUUACUCAUGGAGCUGAAGUCAGUCGAAGAUACCAGCUGGCUGCAACUGUUUAUUAAAAACACAGCACUGUGCAAACACGAAAGUGGACGUAUACGGUGUGACGCCUGCCCGGUGCCGGAAGGUUAAUUGAUGGGGUCAGCGCAAGCGAAGCUCCUGAUCGAAGCCCCGGUAAACGGCGGCCGUAACUAUAACGGUCCUAAGGUAGCGAAAUUCCUUGUCGGGUAAGUUCCGACCUGCACGAAUGGCGUAAUGAUGGCCAGGCUGUCUCCACCCGAGACUCAGUGAAAUUGAACUCGCUGUGAAGAUGCAGUGUACCCGCGGCAAGACGGAAAGACCCCGUGAACCUUUACUAUAGCUUGACACUGAACAUUGAGCCUUGAUGUGUAGGAUAGGUGGGAGGCUUUGAAGUGUGGACGCCAGUCUGCAUGGAGCCGACCUUGAAAUACCACCCUUUAAUGUUUGAUGUUCUAACGUGGACCCGUUACCCGGGUUGCGGACAGUGUCUGGUGGGUAGUUUGACUGGGGCGGUCUCCUCCUAAAGAGUAACGGAGGAGCACGAAGGUUGGCUAAUCCUGGUCGGACAUCAGGAGGUUAGUGCAAUGGCAUAAGCCAGCUUGACUGCGAGCGUGACGGCGCGAGCAGGUGCGAAAGCAGGUCAUAGUGAUCCGGUGGUUCUGAAUGGAAGGGCCAUCGCUCAACGGAUAAAAGGUACUCCGGGGAUAACAGGCUGAUACCGCCCAAGAGUUCAUAUCGACGGCGGUGUUUGGCACCUCGAUGUCGGCUCAUCACAUCCUGGGGCUGAAGUAGGUCCCAAGGGUAUGGCUGUUCGCCAUUUAAAGUGGUACGCGAGCUGGGUUUAGAACGUCGUGAGACAGUUCGGUCCCUAUCUGCCGUGGGCGCUGGAGAACUGAGGGGGGCUGCUCCUAGUACGAGAGGACCGGAGUGGACGCAUCACUGGUGUUCGGGUUGUCAUGCCAAUGGCACUGCCCGGUAGCUAAAUGCGGAAGAGAUAAGUGCUGAAAGCAUCUAAGCACGAAACUUGCCCCGAGAUGAGUUCUCCCUGAGACUUAAAGUCUCCUGAAGGAACGUUGAAGACGACGACGUUGAUAGGCCGGGUGUG